This 187-nucleotide unclassified non-coding RNA is filed under the name uncultured Pochonia. RNAcentral describes it as "sequence contains ITS2". Lineage: Eukaryota; Fungi; Ascomycota; Sordariomycetes; Hypocreales; Clavicipitaceae. The record is from RNAcentral.
CAACCCUCAAGCCCGCAGCGGCUUGGUGUUGGGGACCGGCUACAGCGCCUGCCUUGUAUAAUGCGGGCGCGCGCCGCCCCCGAAAUGAAUUGGCGGUCUCGUCGCGGCCUCCUCUGCGUAGUAGCAUAAACCUCGCAACAGGAGCGCGGCGCGGCCAAUGCCGUAAAACGCCCAACUUUUUCUCAAG